Long non-coding RNA from Sinocyclocheilus rhinocerous, 101 nucleotides. RefSeq lists it as uncharacterized. Lineage: Eukaryota; Metazoa; Chordata; Actinopteri; Cypriniformes; Cyprinidae. The transcript is spliced from 3 exons. The record is from RefSeq and is a predicted model, not a curated record.
AAUCACAUACAUGGGGGGCCUGACGGACAAAAAUAAAAUAAACGUGUUUGAAUUCUUCAACCACUCAUGACCAUCCUUACGAGUUCUUCAUAAUUGAUACA